CGAGGCAGAGAUGCGUAGCUGAUGGGAAGCAGGUUAAUAUUCCUGCACCGUCGUAUGAUGCGAUGGGGGGACGGAUCGCGGAAGGUUGUCUGACUGUUGGAAUAGUCAGUUUCUGGUUCAUAGAAGGCGCUUAGGCAAAUCCGGGCGCGUAAUUCAAGGGACUGGGACGAAGAGUUUAGGCUCUGUAGCAAUCGGAAGUGGUUCCAAGAAAAGCCUCUAAGCUUCAGUCAUACGAGACCGUACCGCAAACCGACACAGGUGGGCGAGAUGAGUA
RNAcentral lists this ribosomal RNA (274 nucleotides) under Duganella guangzhouensis. Its description in RNAcentral is "partial 23S ribosomal RNA". It matches the Rfam family "Bacterial large subunit ribosomal RNA", at positions 1397 to 1678 of the family's 2925-position model. Lineage: Bacteria; Pseudomonadati; Pseudomonadota; Betaproteobacteria; Burkholderiales; Oxalobacteraceae. The record is from RNAcentral.